Molecule: ribosomal RNA, 497 nt
Filed under: uncultured bacterium
Lineage: Bacteria
Description: bacterial SSU rRNA
Rfam family: Bacterial small subunit ribosomal RNA
Source: RNAcentral
AUCCUGGCUCAGAUUGAACGCUGGCGGCAUGCCUUACACAUGCAAGUCGAACGGCAGCACGGGUGCUUGCACCUGGUGGCGAGUGGCGAACGGGUGAGUAAUACAUCGGAACGUACCUUAUCGUGGGGGAUAACGCAGCGAAAGCUGUGCUAAUACCGCAUACGCCCUGAGGGGGAAAGCGGGGGAUCGAAAGACCUCGCGCGAUUAGAGCGGCCGAUGCCUGAUUAGCUUGUUGGUGGGGUAAAAGCCCACCAAGGCGACGAUCAGUAGCUGGUCUGAGAGGACGAUCAGCCACACUGGGACUGAGACACGGCCCAGACUCCUACGGGAGGCAGCAGUGGGGAAUUUUGGACAAUGGGGGAAACCCUGAUCCAGCAAUGCCGCGUGAGUGAAGAAGGCCUUCGGGUUGUAAAGCUCUUUUGUCAGGGAAGAAACACCGGCUCUAACACAGUCCGGGAAUGACGGUACCUGAAGAAUAAGCACCGGCUAACUACGUG